RNAcentral lists this ribosomal RNA (475 nucleotides) under uncultured bacterium. RNAcentral describes it as "partial 16S ribosomal RNA". It matches the Rfam family "Bacterial small subunit ribosomal RNA", at positions 28 to 523 of the family's 1533-position model. The record is from RNAcentral.
GACGAACGCUGGCGGCGUGCUUAACACAUGCAAGUCGAACGGUAAGGCCCUUCGGGGUACACGAGUGGCGAACGGGUGAGUAACACGUGGGUGAUCUGCCCUGCACUUCGGGAUAAGCCUGGGAAACUGGGUCUAAUACCGGAUAGGACCACUGCCUGCAUGGGUGGUGGAAAGCUUUUGCGGUGUGGGAUGGGCCCGCGGCCUAUCAGCUUGUUGGUGGGGUGAUGGCCUACCAAGGCGACGACGGGUAGCCGGCCUGAGAGGGUGACCGGCCACACUGGGACUGAGGUACGGCCCAGACUCCUACGGGAGGCAGCAGUGGGGAAUAUUGCACAAUGGGCGCAAGCCUGAUGCAGCGACGCCGCGUGAGGGAUGACGGCCUUCGGGUUGUAAACCUCUUUCGGCACCGACGAAGCGCAAGUGACGGUAGGUGCAGAAGAAGGACCGGCCAACUACGUGCCAGCCGCCGCAGUAA